CUGUAUGAUGCUAACCCCGGGCUUGUCGGACGGACCUUGGUCCGCUGUGAUGAAGGAAAGCCCCAAUGCUGCUAGAUCCACACCGCUGUUCAGUAUGAGCAGCCUGUGUCAGAGUAACGGAUGCAUUC
Molecule: non-coding RNA, 128 nt
Organism: Triticum aestivum (bread wheat)
Lineage: Eukaryota; Viridiplantae; Streptophyta; Magnoliopsida; Poales; Poaceae
Source: Rfam